Molecule: ribosomal RNA, 537 nt
Filed under: uncultured marine bacterium AY-56
Lineage: Bacteria; Pseudomonadati; Bacteroidota
Description: bacterial SSU rRNA
Rfam family: Bacterial small subunit ribosomal RNA
Source: RNAcentral
UGAGGAAUAUUGGGCAAUGGAGGCAACUCUGACCCAGCCAUGCCGCGUGCAGGAAGACGGCCCUACGGGUUGUAAACUGCUUUUAUACAGGAAGAACACCACCCACGUGUGGGUGACUGACGGUACUGUAAGAAUAAGGACCGGCUAACUCCGUGCCAGCAGCCGCGGUAAUACGGAGGGUCCGAGCGUUAUCCGGAAUCAUUGGGUUUAAAGGGUCCGUAGGCGGGCUAAUAAGUCAGAGGUGAAAGUUUGCAGCUCAACUGUAAAAUUGCCUUUGAUACUGUUAGUCUUGAGUUAUAGUGAAGUGGUUAGAAUAAGUGGUGUAGCGGUGAAAUGCAUAGAUAUCACUUAGAAUACCGAUUGCGAAGGCAGAUCACUAACUGUAUACUGACGCUGAGGGACGAAAGCAUGGGUAGCGAACGGGAUUAGAUACCCCGGUAGUCCAUGCUGUAAACGAUGGAUACUAGCUGUUGGCUUCGGUCAGUGGCUAAGCGAAAGUGAUAAGUAUCCCACCUGGGGAGUACGUUCGCAAGAAUG